Hyaena hyaena (striped hyena) is the source of this 661-nucleotide long non-coding RNA. RefSeq lists it as uncharacterized. NCBI's taxonomy places the organism in Eukaryota, Metazoa, Chordata, Mammalia, Carnivora, Hyaenidae. The record is from RefSeq and is a predicted model, not a curated record. The transcript is spliced from 6 exons.
GGAACUCCUCAUGGAUGAGGUAGUAAACGUUCCAGCAUUCAUCCAUCAAAUAGGCGGGAGAAGGCAAGGGCGCGGGUCUUCGACAGGAGACAAAACCCGGGAGAGCGGACACAGUGUUACAAGGGGGCCCAGGGAGAGAGACAAGCAAAAUUUCUACAGCCAGAAGUGGCAAGUAAAUGUAAGCUCCAGGAAAAGAAACCUUGGUUGUCUACUGGAUAGUCAGCUCCUAGCCCAGAACUGAAGCAUAAGAGACCAAGAAUACUUGGCUUUUCCACUUCUUACCUCCUCUGCCUGCGGUGACGUUGUACCAGAUAUUUUGAUGGCUAGCCUCUUAUCAGCUUCAAGUAUUUACAUAAAGUUCACCUUUUUGUUACAGAGUACCUACCAAAGAUUCAGGAGAGAUAACAGGGAAUUUGGAGAGGAUUGCUGUGUACUCAUGGAGCUCUUCGGAGAAAGAAGGAAACUGUAUAUGUGAUAUGGAUGCAUCACUAUGAGAACUACAUAAGGAACGGCUAACAUUUCAAAAGCACAGAUUUUCAAAAUGGUUGAAGCACUGAAUCAUCCUGAAGACGGGACAGCCUGUAAGUGGUUACAUUUUCCUAAGAGAUAUAAAAUCACCAUGUGAUUUUUUUUUUUUAUCAUGGCCUUCAUUUGAUUUGUA